This 257-nucleotide long non-coding RNA is filed under the name Mytilus galloprovincialis (Mediterranean mussel). The record is from RNAcentral. Lineage: Eukaryota; Metazoa; Mollusca; Bivalvia; Mytilida; Mytilidae.
GUGUUGCUCAGCCUUUAGUUUAUAUGUUGUGUUUUGUGUACAAUAAUUUGUCUGUUUGUUUUUUUGGCCUUUUUUUUUUCUUUUUUAGUAAUGGCGUUGGCGGUUUGUUUUCGACUUCUGAGUUUGAAUAACCCUUUGGUAUUUUCCGCCUAUCUUUCUAGAUGUUUUCUUCUAUAAAUAUAGUAAAACAGAGUACUUAAAUAGUGACACUAUUUUCACUUAAUAUAAUAUUAUGAAACAAAAUUCACGGCUACUUG